This 1188-nucleotide long non-coding RNA is filed under the name Triticum aestivum (bread wheat). RNAcentral describes it as "long non-coding RNA (TAES_LNC013722)". The record is from RNAcentral. Lineage: Eukaryota; Viridiplantae; Streptophyta; Magnoliopsida; Poales; Poaceae.
AUAUCUUUAUGUCCAAGGAACCAGUAAGUGCCAAACAAAACUAUUCUACAGCAAAGAAAAGAAAAUAGAAAGACAUCACAGAAGUUCCUAUUGUCCUCCUCCUUCAACAUUUGAAAACCUUCACCUGGCAAUAGAUCAAUCAUGAGUGAGAAACAAUACAGCAGCAAAAAAUGUUCAGAUGAUGCAAAAAAUAACAGUCAUUACACAUGGUAUUCGCGUACAGAUUGUAAGUCAUGGAUCCAUUACACAUAGUUUUUGUGUUGUGGACUAUCUUCAUGCAAUUGCUACUUGGUAAGGCAUUACAAUGCUCCAGGAAGUGUACCACACUACAGUAACAGUCUACAGUAUGCACAGCUAGGAAUUGUAAGUCACAUUGCAUAUCCACACCAGAAACUAAGUCAAACAUGCAUGCUACUAAUCCACUGUCCUGUAGUUGUGUCAAACCCACCAGCAUCAGUAUUCAGUAGUACUCAACCAAUGACAGUAGAAAAAUGUACUACCUCAUCACCCAUUUCGCGCAGGUGCUUGACGAAGUUCUGGAACUGGUUCUUGUACCCAGAGAUGUAGCUGCAAACAUGCAUGGAAGACGCACGCAAAAUUAGUUCACAUAUACUAGGAAAUUAACAGAAUAUUUUAUUCGACUAGUGCCAUCAAGUUACACCAAUUCACGACAAGGAGAAGAAAGGAGCAUGACACGACAUAUUUAUGUAAGAUGUUGAUUAUUCAGAGAAGUUAAACUAAGUGCAGGUCACCCAAAACUGAAUUUCUUGCAAUCCAAACAACACAAACAGCACGGAGAUGGUUGCAUAGAUACAAAUCCAUGUGGUAGCAGCAAAAUUGACCAAUCUGGACUGCAUCUUCUCUGUUUGGUACUAACUAAAUAAAAAAACUGGACUUGUUCAUACAAAUCCCUCUUGAAUUCCUUGACACAACCAGGAUUUGCAUCAAAUAUUCCUUAAUUUAGCAGCAUUAGUAAGCAGAGAAAGAGGGGGAGGGAGAUGGGGAUGCUACCUGCCGUGGUGGGUCGUCGUGGCCGUGCUUGAUCUCGGGCAGGACCUCUUGGUCGCACUAGGGGCAGAGGAGAAGGCCUCUCAUGCCCCUCCUCCUCGAGCAGAGCAGGGCCGACGGCUAGGUGCGCCCCUCAUCCUCAUCCUCCUUUAGCAGGGCAGCAUCUGUUAUAAUUUGUGU